GGACCCGCACAAGUAGUGGAGCAUGUGGUUUAAUUCGAAGAUACGCGCAGAACCUUACCAACACUUGACAUGUUCGUCGCGACUUUAAGAGAUUAAAGUUUUCGGUUCGGCCGGACGAAACACAGGUGCUGCAUGGCUGUCGUCAGCUCGUGUCGUGAGAUGUUGGGUUAAGUCCCGCAACGAGCGCAACCCUCACUUUUAGUUGCCAUCAUUAAGUUGGGCACUCUGAAAGAACUGCCAGUGAUAAGCUGGAGGAAGGUGGGGAUGACGUCAAGUCCUCAUGGCCCUUACGUGUUGGGCUACACACGUGCUACAAUGGUCGGUACAAUAGGAAGCAAGACCGCGAGGUGGAGCAAAUCCUCAAAACCGGGCCCAGUUCGGAUUGGAGUCUGCAACUCGACUCCAUG
This 407-nucleotide ribosomal RNA is filed under the name uncultured bacterium. RNAcentral describes it as "bacterial SSU rRNA". It matches the Rfam family "Bacterial small subunit ribosomal RNA", at positions 917 to 1322 of the family's 1533-position model. The record is from RNAcentral.